CAGCGAGGAAGAACGCCUGUCGGUUAAUACCCGGCAGGAAAGACAUCACUCGCAGAAGAAGCACCGGCUAACUCCGUGCCAGCAGCCGCGGUAAUACGGAGGGUGCAAGCGUUAAUCGGAAUUACUGGGCGUAAAGCGCGCGUAGGUGGCUUGAUAAGCCGGUUGUGAAAGCCCCGGGCUCAACCUGGGAACGGCAUCCGGAACUAUUAGGCUAGAGUGCAGGAGAGGAAGGUAGAAUUCCCGGUGUAGCGGUGAAAUGCGUAGAGAUCGGGAGGAAUACCAGUGGCGAAGGCGGCCUUCUGGACUGACACUGACACUGAGGUGCGAAAGCGUGGGUAGCAAACAGGAUUAGAUACCCUGGUAGUCCACGCCGUAAACGAUGUCGACCAGCCGUUGGGUGCCUAGCGCACUUUGUGGCGAAGUUAACGCGAUAAGUCGACCGCCUGGGGAGUACGGCCGCAAGGUUAAAACUCAAAUG
Molecule: ribosomal RNA, 478 nt
Filed under: uncultured bacterium
Lineage: Bacteria
Description: bacterial SSU rRNA
Rfam family: Bacterial small subunit ribosomal RNA
Source: RNAcentral